RNAcentral lists this unclassified non-coding RNA (272 nucleotides) under Hevea brasiliensis (rubber tree). Lineage: Eukaryota; Viridiplantae; Streptophyta; Magnoliopsida; Malpighiales; Euphorbiaceae. The record is from RNAcentral.
GCUGAGUUCCUUGAAUUAUGCUCUGUAGGUGUGAUAGUAUCUGUUUUGCUCUCUUUACCAGAUUUUUGAAGUUUAUUUUCAACUAUUGUAAUCUCUUCAUCAAAUUUUUUAGAUCCAUUUUCAACGAUUGUGCUGUCUUCAAUAGAUAUUUGAGGUCCAUUUGCAGUCGUAUUAUCCCCAGCUGUAGUGUUGAUGUUGUCCACUAGCCUUGAUGUCAGUGGACCAGGAUUCAUGAAAGAGAUUGUUCGAAUUUCAUGGCGUAUAGCUUCUAG